UACGGAGGAUGCAAGCGUUAUCCGGAAUGAUUGGGCGUAAAGCGUCCGCAGGUGGCUGUGUAAGUCUGCUGUUAAAUAGUGAGGCUCAACCUCAUAAAGGCAGUGGAAACUACACGGCUAGAGUGCGUUCGGGGCAGAGGGAAUUCCUGGUGUAGCGGUGAAAUGCGUAGAGAUCAGGAAGAACACCGGUGGCGAAAGCGCUCUGCUAGGCCGCAACUGACACUCAUGGACGAAAGCUAGGGGAGCGAAAGGG
Molecule: ribosomal RNA, 253 nt
Filed under: uncultured bacterium
Lineage: Bacteria
Description: partial 16S ribosomal RNA
Rfam family: Bacterial small subunit ribosomal RNA
Source: RNAcentral